RNAcentral lists this long non-coding RNA (228 nucleotides) under Bos taurus (domestic cattle). RNAcentral describes it as "long non-coding RNA NONBTAT013701". The record is from RNAcentral. Lineage: Eukaryota; Metazoa; Chordata; Mammalia; Artiodactyla; Bovidae.
UGGAAGUUUCCAGAGUGCUGUGAGGCUUUGAGGAAGGUAUUACUAAUCUCUCUUCUCUUUUACAUGUGAAGUUGGUGUAGACAUACUUCAUGAGUUGUUGUGAGAAUAUGUAGAUAUAAUUGUAUUAAAGUGCACCAGUUUAGUAGGUAUUUAUCCUGCAUCUUUUAGUAUGAGAGCUGUAGUUGGCACUGGGUAUACAGUGGCAAAUAAUAACAGUGCUCAUUUAUG